UUAUUUGUUAAUAUGCGUCGGGAGUUAUGAAUAUGAGAAACGGAGUCGUUACCUUUUCAUUGAAAUAUGAGCGUCAGCUUCAGCCAUUGAGAAAAAAACUCUGUACGAUCAUCAAGAAAAAACUCCACAAAAUAACAUCCCUCGGGGCUUUUAGCUUAAAAGCAUGCACAUUUGGAGAAAUAUUGAUCCACUGUCAUUAUGUCAAUUUUCUAUACAGAGGAGUCAUAUUUAUUACAUUUUUACCCAAAACGCGCUGUUUUCAUCAUAUGAGCGCUGUAUACACUGACUACUGUGUGUCCAAAUCAUACCCGAAGCCGGAGGGCGCUCUGUGCACCUUUAGUCCACAAAUAACACAGCAUGAACAAGAGGCAAUCAUGUGACAUACACGGGACUAACAGAGGCUACCAGACAUCGCUAUAAUCAUUGAUAUAAACAUACAGAACGUCACUUUUGAAAGUAAUAAAUACACGAUUGUGACGAUAUGUGGUUUAUCUGUGUUCUUCACGCCAUGUCAGCCACAUCACAUCAAAGAAGGUUAUUUAAAACAAUCGACUAGUAAAUUUGGAGAAAAAAACGUGGUUUUAAUCUUAUAAAUUGUCAUGUUUUGUUGGUGUGCUAAGCUAAUAUGCUAACGAGCCCAGAUAUGCACCUGUUCUAAUCUAAAGCUAAUGCAAAUAAAUAAUUCUUAAUAGUAAA
Megalobrama amblycephala (Wuchang bream) is the source of this 696-nucleotide long non-coding RNA. RefSeq lists it as uncharacterized. Lineage: Eukaryota; Metazoa; Chordata; Actinopteri; Cypriniformes; Xenocyprididae. The record is from RefSeq and is a predicted model, not a curated record. The transcript is spliced from 2 exons.